Non-coding RNA from Pseudogymnoascus sp. 23342-1-I1, 91 nucleotides. NCBI's taxonomy places the organism in Eukaryota, Fungi, Ascomycota, Leotiomycetes, Thelebolales, Thelebolaceae. The record is from the annotation of a GenBank genome assembly.
GCGGCUUUAGCUCACUUGGGAGAGCGCCAGACUGAAGUCACACUUCGGUUAGAUUAUCUGGAGGCACUGUGUUCGAUCCACAGAAGCCGCA